UUGAGAUAUUCUCACGUAAGAUUCCAACGGGGGAUUUUCGCUCUUUCGGUACAGGAACGAUGAAUCUGUGGCGGAAGCCGUGACUCUGCAUGCGCAAGUUAAUGCCAAAGUGCGGGCUCCGUUUUCAUUCCUGUCUUCCCAGCUCUCACCGCGUAGCCGCAGGCAAGUUACUCAGCCCUUUCAACCUCAUCCUUUAAAAAUCGACAGCGGCGGCACCGUUGACAUCUUGAGCCAGGGUUCCAGCAAAGAGCAAUGCCUGUUUGAGAAAAUGUCAUGUUCCAGAAAAUACUGAUUCAGAAAAGACUGAUGGACUAUCUGAGUGAAUAUGGAAGAAGUUGAAAUUUGACAAAUGCACUCGUGGUAUGCAGAAAUUGCUUCCGGUGACUUGCCUCAGUAUUCUGAGCCUCAAACCUUGCUGACCCCUUCUCCACUCUCCCUGCACGCAUGUACAUCCCCUCAGGAUCCAGCUUCUAUCUCCGAUCGAGGAAGAAUGAUUUCAGAAAUAGAGGUCACAUUCAUAACACGCAGAAGCAUGAAAAUUGUUACCAUAUUUCAAUUGCAGCUACACUUUCUGCCCCUCUAAGGAAACAAGGCCUUCUGUAUCUUGGUUGCAUCUUUGACUAUUUGGGUAAGUGUUCUGUCCCUCCCUCCUUCUUCUUUCCAAUAUACUCUGCCUGGGGACCAUUACCCUUUUGGCUGGAAGUUGUGAACAAUGAGUGAGGCCAGCCACAGAGCUCAAUGAAGAACAGACUCAAUAACCAGGGCUUGAAUAUGCAGCUUUCAUAUGUGGCUUCCUAUGAGGUAUUGAAAUGUCACAGAAUAAUAGGAAACAAAUAUAUUGUUGCAAAAUUAUUGACUAUGUGCUCUUGAGGGCAGAGAUCAUGUUUAACUCAAUCUUGUGCUUGUUACCCAAUAGAUAAUAGAAACCCAGCAAAUGUCUGCUGGGGGAGGAAAGAGUAGGAGUGAGAGUCCACUGUAUCAUUUAGCCCAGAAUUAAGAGAGCGGCCGAGAGAGGAAAUGUAAUAGAAAAUAGGUUUCAAGGAUUCUAAGGCAGUGUUUUUUCAAAAAUGUUGACCUGUAUUAAUAGUAAAAAAUAUAUUUGCAUCAUAAACCACACACAUACUCACAUACUAGUUGAAACCAACUGAAUUUCUCUGUGAACCAUUGGGAUGCCACCCACAUAUACAAACUAUAGUAGAAAAUAUGGAGCCAAUAAAGGGAAAAUGGAAAGGACCAGAAUUGCUGGUACCCAGGAAAGUACUAGCAAUUACUACUGAAUUGCUGCUGUUAAAAUGGCCCAUUAUUUACUUCUUAUAGUCUUUAACAGCAUUUUAUUAUUAGUACUUAGUCAGUUAAUUCUUUUUUUUUUU
Molecule: long non-coding RNA, 1370 nt
Organism: Callithrix jacchus (white-tufted-ear marmoset)
Lineage: Eukaryota; Metazoa; Chordata; Mammalia; Primates; Cebidae
Source: RefSeq, a predicted model, not a curated record